AGGAGAAGUCGUAACAAGGUUUCCGUAGGUGAUCCUGCGGGAAGGUUGAAUGAGAAAUCUCGGUGAUGCUAUGUUCGGUAGUGCACCUGUUUCAUGAGAAGGAGAAAGUGUAACAAGGUUUCCGUAGGUGAACCUGCGGAAGGAUCAUUACCGAGUUUUCGGGCUUCGGCUCGACUCUCCCACCCUUUGUGAACGUACCUCUGUUGCUUUGGCGGCUCCGGCCGCCAAAGGACCUCCAAACUCCAGUCAGUAAACGCAGACGUCGAUAAACAAGUUAAUAAACUAAAACUUUCAACAACGGAUCUCUUGGUUCUGGCAUCGAUGAAGAACGCAGCGAAAUGCGAUAAGUAAUGUGAAUUGCAGAAUUCAGUGAAUCAUCGAAUCUUUGAACGCACAUUGCGCCCCUUGGUAUUCCGGGGGGCAUGCCUGUUCGAGCGUCAUUACAACCCUCAAGCUCUGCUUGGAAUUGGGCACCGUCCUCACUGCGGACGCGCCUCAAAGACCUCGGCGGUGGCUGUUCAGCCCUCAAGCGUAGUAGAAUACACCUCGCUUUGGAGUGGUUGGCGUCGCCCGCCGGACGAACCUUCUGAACUUUUCUCAAGGUUGACCUCGGAUCAGGUAGGGAUACCCGCUGAACUUAAGCAUAUCAUAAGCCCGGAGGAAUUCCAAUCAUCUCGGAUGAAAACUACGUACACAACCAACAUGACAUGAAUCAGGCGGGACUACCCGCUGAACUUAAGCAUAUCAAUAAGCG
Molecule: ribosomal RNA, 754 nt
Rfam family: 5.8S ribosomal RNA (bases 287-440)